Molecule: long non-coding RNA, 593 nt
Organism: Mastomys coucha (southern multimammate mouse)
Lineage: Eukaryota; Metazoa; Chordata; Mammalia; Rodentia; Muridae
Exons: 5
Source: RefSeq, a predicted model, not a curated record
CUCAUAAACUCAGAACACUCUGUGACAUAGAAUGAUGUAAUUUGAGUGCAGAAGUCUGGAGGCUUAAGCUUACAAACAGGAGGUAUAAUAUGUCAGCUUCUGACCCAUCGGACUACAAGCCCUAUCUUCAAUCUUCUACAACACCUUCAGCAUCAAACCCAGUACAUCACUUCCAGUGACAUCUUCAUUUACGCAUGGAUAAGGGUCCCCCCACCCCAGAAGCCAGAGCAAGCCAGCUCCCCUCAGAUGGAGUCACACACAAGAGUGUUAUGAGAGCAAACUGAGCAGUUCCUUGGUGAAUCCUUUGGAAGAUCUUCAGACAGCGGCAGCUCUGAGGAACAACAGAACUGAAAGAUGAUCUGGGACAGAAGAGGCAUUUUCCAAAGAAGGGACUCUCAACUUUGAAGAGGGAGAGAAGAAAUUGUCACAGUGAUUCCGCUGGAGACAGCCUUCCUGCCACUAAGCGGCCCCUGGGGAUUCUCUACCUGAUUUGUUCUUCAUCAGCCUGGCAUCUCCUUGACAAGGCAAUUGUAAUUAGAAUGAACAAAAUGAGCAAUAAAAUCCCUGUUUAUAAUUCAGAUGGUGACAUUAAA